RNAcentral lists this long non-coding RNA (500 nucleotides) under Brassica napus (rape). Its description in RNAcentral is "long non-coding RNA (BNAP_LNC004474)". The record is from RNAcentral. Lineage: Eukaryota; Viridiplantae; Streptophyta; Magnoliopsida; Brassicales; Brassicaceae.
AUGGGGAACCAGUAGGUAUUUAAUUUAGUGUAUUUUCUGUGUUUUAAAUAUUUUGACUAUUUUAGAUAUUUAUUUUCAACUGUUUUUGAUAUUUUCAAGUAUUUUUUAAAAAUUCGAAUAUUUUUGAGUAUUUUAGAUAUUUUGAAUAGUAAAUAAAAACAAUUCACUUGCGAAAACUGCAUUUUCUAUUGAUCCAACCACUCUUCUGACCUGAACCGGUUAUGAAUCAAAGUUUGUUGUUUAAAAAAAUAGAUAUAUUUAAACAUAUAAAUGGGAUUUGAAUAUUUUUGAGCACUCGAAAUAUUUUGGUUUGAACCAUAUUUGGUUCUGGUCCUUCAUAUACCAAAGUUUUGGACCUGUUUGAAUAUUUUACCAGUUUCGAUUAAGUAUUGGCAUAACUUUUUAUUCAGUUCAGUUUUUCGGGUUUGAAUAUUUUUCUCAGCCUAUGCCAUGUGGUUUCUUAAAUUAAAUAUUAGAAAUUUAGGUGAGAGAAAAUAUUA